RNAcentral lists this ribosomal RNA (254 nucleotides) under uncultured bacterium. RNAcentral describes it as "partial 16S ribosomal RNA". It matches the Rfam family "Bacterial small subunit ribosomal RNA", at positions 524 to 777 of the family's 1533-position model. The record is from RNAcentral.
UACGGGGGGGGCAAGCGUUGUUCGGAAUUACUGGGCGUAAAGGGCUCGUAGGCGGCCCUCUCAGUCGGAUGUGAAAUCCCCAGGCUCAACUUGGGAACGGCAUCCGAUACUGGAGGGCUUGAAUUCGGGAGAGGGAUGCAGAAUUCCAGGUGUAGCGGUGAAAUGCGUAGAUAUCUGGAGGAAUACCGGUGGCGAAGGCGGCAUCCUGGACCGAGAUUGACGCUGAGGAGCGAAAGCUAGGGGAGCAAACGGGG